Molecule: transfer-messenger RNA, 349 nt
Filed under: Coriobacteriales bacterium
Lineage: Bacteria; Bacillati; Actinomycetota; Coriobacteriia; Coriobacteriales
Rfam family: transfer-messenger RNA
About the family: Bacterial tmRNA, also known as 10Sa RNA or SsrA, is named for its dual tRNA and mRNA-like properties.
Source: RNAcentral
GGGGGCGACUGGAUUCGACAUGAUAGCUUUACGAGAGGAAGCAUGUGGUGGUCGCCUCGCCACCUUAAACAGGGGUACUGUCAAAUUAAUUGACAAUAACCGUUAUGCCCUCGCCGCCUGAUAGUGUGGCGACGUCAACUCGGGAUACUUCCCCGCUCCCGACGCGACGACACUUUGGGGAAUGCUCCUGCGAACGUAGCUGGUAUAGCGCAGGAAAAGACCGAACCAACUAGCAAAGAGCGUGCUUGUCUGCUGAUACGUUUCGCGCGAACCCUUCCAACAGACUGAACAUGGAGAAGCUCUCAAGGAGUUAGCAUGGACCGGAGUUCGAUUCUCCGCGCCUCCACCA